GACGAACGCUGGCGGCGUGCCUAACACAUGCAAGUCGAACGGAACUGUUUUGAAAGAUUUCUUCGGAAUGAAUUUGAUUUAGUUUAGUGGCGGACGGGUGAGUAACGCGUGAGUAACCUGCCUUCAAGAGGGGGAUAACAUUUUGAAAAGAAUGCUAAUACCGCAUGACAUAUCGGAACCACAUGAUUUUGAUAUCAAAGAUUUUAUCGCUUGAAGAUGGACUCGCGUCCGAUUAGUUAGUUGGUGAGGUAACGGCUCACCAAGACCGCGAUCGGUAGCCGGACUGAGAGGUUGAACGGCCACAUUGGGACUGAGACACGGCCCAGACUCCUACGGGAGGCAGCAGUGGGGGAUAUUGCGCAAUGGGGGCAACCCUGACGCAGCAACGCCGCGUGAAGGAUGAAGGUUUUCGGAUUGUAAACUUCUUUUAUUAAGGACGAAACUUGACG
This 449-nucleotide ribosomal RNA is filed under the name uncultured bacterium. RNAcentral describes it as "bacterial SSU rRNA". It matches the Rfam family "Bacterial small subunit ribosomal RNA", at positions 28 to 457 of the family's 1533-position model. The record is from RNAcentral.